Long non-coding RNA from Jaculus jaculus (lesser Egyptian jerboa), 595 nucleotides. RefSeq lists it as uncharacterized. The record is from RefSeq and is a predicted model, not a curated record. NCBI's taxonomy places the organism in Eukaryota, Metazoa, Chordata, Mammalia, Rodentia, Dipodidae. The transcript has 3 exons.
UCACAGGUCAGAAAGGGGGACAAGGCUCUCCUCCUGAAUUCUGGGGAGCUAGGAAUGGCUUUCCCAGCCCAGAGGACCGGCCAGCUCUUCAGCUUUCAGUUCAUGGACCGUCCUCAGGUGAAAUCUGGUCCUGCACUGCACCAAACACCUUCCCCCAUCCGCUGCAGCGGCCCUCCACCUCCCCGUCCGCUCCCAGCAGAGACGAGGAGAGAGUAUUUUAAUUCAGAGAAUCUGCCACACAGCACUAGGACACAACACAUGUGAAUGACAGAAAAUCAUGGCCAGUUUGCAGCAUAAAGAGAAAUGUCCUGAAGAGCACAGAGAAGACUGCAGAGAAUGACACUGAUGGGAAAGACCUUGGAUAUCCACUCUGGUUAAAUCUGACUUAGUCCUGGAAGCAGGUUGCAUAGCUCUGUACAGAAUCCUGACAGUCAACAGGGAGGAGGCUUCCAGCUUAGCUCCAGCUUGAUCUCUCCACGAUCUGCAGCCCAAGCAUGUGGAGUCUUCAGCAACAGAGUCUUACCAUGUAGUUCUGGUGGGCAUCCGAGGGCCUCGACAGUAAUAGCCUGUAAGUGCUUUGGGAACAUCAACAGCC